UCACAUACAUGGCGAGUCCACAACGUCUUAAAAUUGUUUCUGUAAAGUGCAGUGAAUCGGAAUGUUCUGUUGUUGAUCCUCACUGUCAUGUUUUAUUGUCACACUUAAAUUUUCAUGUUCAUUAUGUUCACUUUAGAUGUGUAAACUGAUCAUUUAUGUAAAGUUCAUGAAGUUGUGAGUAAAAUUGGACAAUUUUAAAAUGUCGGUAAUAAAACAAAGUAUUUGAAUUA
This is a long non-coding RNA of Poecilia latipinna (sailfin molly), 230 nucleotides long. RefSeq lists it as uncharacterized. The transcript has 2 exons. Lineage: Eukaryota; Metazoa; Chordata; Actinopteri; Cyprinodontiformes; Poeciliidae. The record is from RefSeq and is a predicted model, not a curated record.